This 468-nucleotide ribosomal RNA is filed under the name uncultured bacterium. Its description in RNAcentral is "partial 16S ribosomal RNA". It matches the Rfam family "Bacterial small subunit ribosomal RNA", at positions 28 to 507 of the family's 1533-position model. The record is from RNAcentral.
GACGAACGCUGGCGGCGUGCUUAACACAUGCCAGUCGAACGGAAAGGCCCUGCUUUUGUGGGGUGCUCGAGUGGCGAACGGGUGAGUAACACGUGAGUAACCUGCCCUUGACUUUGGGAUAACUUCAGGAAACUGGGGCUAAUACCGGAUAGGAGCUCCUGCUGCAUGGUGGGGGUUGGAAAGUUUCGGCGGUUGGGGAUGGACUCGCGGCUUAUCAGCUUGUUGGUGGGGUAGUGGCUUACCAAGGCUUUGACGGGUAGCCGGCCUGAGAGGGUGACCGGCCACAUUGGGACUGAGAUACGGCCCAGACUCCUACGGGAGGCAGCAGUGGGGAAUAUUGCACAGUGGGCGGAAGCCUGAUGCAGCAACGCCGCGGGCGGGAUGACGGCCUUCGGGUUGUAAACCGCUUUCGCCUGUGACGAAGCGUGAGUGACGGUAAUGGGUAAAGAAGCACCGGCUAACUACGUG